Long non-coding RNA from Telopea speciosissima, 1401 nucleotides. RefSeq lists it as uncharacterized. The transcript is spliced from 2 exons. Lineage: Eukaryota; Viridiplantae; Streptophyta; Magnoliopsida; Proteales; Proteaceae. The record is from RefSeq and is a predicted model, not a curated record.
AUCACCUGUAAUUCCCCCCCUUCUUUUUGUUCUUUAGCUUCUUUGGCCCCGGAACUUCAAUUCUACCAAUUGUACACCCACAACUGGCCCGAAACACGAGAACUGCCCUCCCAUUUUCAGGUGCAAUCUCCCUUAACUGUUUUUGGAAUUCUUUAUCGGUUACUAGCAGAAAGUUAAGAAAGUCCUGCACAGGACCUUCUUCGCUCACAGAAGAACUUGAAUUCUGUGCAGACUCUUCAAUCUCAAGUUGCAUUUCAAACUCCUUUAAGUUACGGAGGCUGUGGCAAUUUGGAUUUCGACAUUUCUUACCAGUGCAUUUAGAAAUGCCCCAAAAAACUAAGAAAAUCCCUAUGCAUGCAUAGGCAAUUGAAGAUCGAUGCACACUGUUUUUUACUACAGAAAGAAUUUCCCCACUGAUUCUUGAAAUCCCACUGCAGAAAAGCUUACCAAAGGGGAAUACCAAAAAUCCUGUAGCACCCAUGACAAUAGUCAUGAACACAACAUCCACCGCUGCAGUUCGAGAUUGAUCACAAGAUGGAAUUUUUGAACGGUUCAAAGAAUUGGGCUGCUUUCUGUUUUUCUGUUGUUGAUGAUUCUGCCUUGAUAUAGUAGAUUGGCUGGUCAAUGUCGGAGGAGUAGCCAUGUUUGUAGGAUGACCGGAGGACUUGCCAAACGAAAUAAUGCUACCGGAAUGCACUGUUUGGAUUGUGCUUCUCUGAUCAAAGCCCACUUACCUUGAUAUGAAAACAGAUUUAACCCACCAAUCUAAAAAUCAAAUCAAAACAAAUCCAUCAUAAAGAAGGCGAAAUUGUUACAAGUUCAAACUCACCUGAAGGUUGGUAUCCAAUUUUGAUGAAACUGAGGUGUUUCUGUUGCUUCUUCGAGCAGGUAUUGAUUCUGUGCACACCUUAUGCAAACUAAGUUUGGCAAUAAGAAUGGUUUAGGGCAUCUGUAAAACACUUUGCUCAAGAACAUGAACUUGCAUCUCCUCGAAAGAAAAUCCCAGCCAGGUACAUGAAGGAGGCGAUGUAGUCAUGACUACUUAUAUCAUCUCUUAAGCUGAUUUGUCAUCUAAAACAGCUGUUUUUAGCCUGCAAAUCAGACUGUCGGAGCUAACAAUGGUAAUGUAAUAAUUCGAAUUAAUGAUCCCAUUAAAUGAUAGCUAUAAUUGGAAAAGUUUCUUGGGAAUUAAUAAUCCCGUUAAAUGAUAGAUAUCAUAGGAAAAGUUUGAUGGAAUGCCUAAUUUAAUCUAAUAUAAUCUUUAUACAAUCUAAUAAUAACGUUAAUAAACCUUUUCCUGUUGUGAAUUGGUGCAGGAUCAUUUGUACCUGUGUCAAUUUUGUUGUAAGUUGCAACCCACAGGGUAUUGAGGCAACCCCCCUCCCUGACCAAAAUAAAGAG